CUCCCUGUAGUCUGUGAACACUGCCUAAUGCACCGGCAUUUGGAUUGGGGAAAGCAUAAAAUAUACGCCUAAUUCUUUGAUGCACAAGUGCCAUUGCACACAUCGUACAUGGCUCCCAUACCAGGUAGAUGUCAUAACCAGUGCAAAGAUAGGGCCUCACUGAUGCGGCUUCAGAAUGAGCAUCCAAUUCCUUCCCAUCCUCAACAUUUGCAAGGUUCGUCUUCUGUCUUUUUGCUGGAGAACCUGCACAAGAAGACUGCAUAGAUUCCACUUCAAAGGACUUCUCAGUAUGAAGCAAGCCAGGGAAUAGGCGCCUAUCCCUUUCAG
RNAcentral lists this unclassified non-coding RNA (327 nucleotides) under Hevea brasiliensis (rubber tree). The record is from RNAcentral. Lineage: Eukaryota; Viridiplantae; Streptophyta; Magnoliopsida; Malpighiales; Euphorbiaceae.